Molecule: ribosomal RNA, 479 nt
Filed under: uncultured Exiguobacterium sp.
Lineage: Bacteria; Bacillati; Bacillota; Bacilli; Caryophanales
Description: bacterial SSU rRNA
Rfam family: Bacterial small subunit ribosomal RNA
Source: RNAcentral
CGCGAAGAACCUUACCAACUCUUGACAUCCCCCUGACCGGUACAGAGAUGUGCCUUCCCCUUCGGGGGCAGGGGUGACAGGUGGUGCAUGGUUGUCGUCAGCUCGUGUCGUGAGAUGUUGGGUUAAGUCCCGCAACGAGCGCAACCCUUGUCCUUAGUUGCCAGCAUUCAGUUGGGCACUCUAAGGAGACUGCCGGUGACAAACCGGAGGAAGGUGGGGAUGACGUCAAAUCAUCAUGCCCCUUAUGAGUUGGGCUACACACGUGCUACAAUGGACGGUACAAAGGGCAGCGAAGCCGCGAGGUGGAGCCAAUCCCAGAAAGCCGUUCUCAGUUCGGAUUGCAGGCCGCAACUCGCCUGCAUGAAGUCGGAAUCGCUAGUAAUCGCAGGUCAGCAUACUGCGGUGAAUACGUUCCCGGGUCUUGUACACACCGCCCGUCACACCACGAGAGUUUGCAACACCCGAAGCCGGUGAGUAAC